UAAUCCACACGACUCUCGGCAACGGAUAUCUCGGCUCUCGCAUCGAUGAAGAACGUAGCGAAAUGCGAUACCUGGUGUGAAUUGCAGAAUCCCGCGAACCAUCGAGUCUUUGAACGCAAGUUGCGCCCGAGGCCUUUGGGCCGAGGGCACGCCUGCCUGGGCGUC
This 165-nucleotide ribosomal RNA is filed under the name Fargesia yunnanensis. RNAcentral describes it as "5.8S ribosomal RNA". It matches the Rfam family "5.8S ribosomal RNA". Rfam says of the family: 5.8S ribosomal RNA (5.8S rRNA) is a component of the large subunit of the eukaryotic ribosome. The record is from RNAcentral. Lineage: Eukaryota; Viridiplantae; Streptophyta; Magnoliopsida; Poales; Poaceae.